Molecule: long non-coding RNA, 711 nt
Organism: Peromyscus leucopus (white-footed mouse)
Lineage: Eukaryota; Metazoa; Chordata; Mammalia; Rodentia; Cricetidae
Exons: 3
Source: RefSeq, a predicted model, not a curated record
AUCCCUCCCCGUCGGGCCCGGACCGCGCUAGCGGCUGCCAGCCCGGGGCUCCCGGCAGGAGGGCGCCGGAGCCCGGGACGCGCGUGUCCGGGUCUCGCGAGGGCUGCGGUGCGCGUCCGCCUGCAGGACACCGGGGACUGGAGUGAGCAGCCUGCGCAGUAGAGCACAGAAGAACCAACUUCCCAGGGAACAAGCGAUGGAGAGACUCCCUGCCUGGUUGAGAUGUAGAGCUGUGGAUGUGGGUACAGAAGCAAGUGAAAGCCAAGGUCCCGAGGAUCGAACUUAAGUUGCCAAGGUUUGGAGCAAGCACCUUUACCCUCUGAGCCAUUUCGCCACCCCAUUGCUGCCUGCUUUAAAACCACAGUCCAUGCACAUUGCCAGCCAUCCCAAUCAGCAGGGAACUAACCCCAGCUCCUGUAAGCUUUCCUACCAAAUUCCAUUUCCUGCCUCAGCUCUUAAUUCCUUUUGAAAGCUCCUUGGUGUAUCUUUGGAGAGCUCUUUGGUAUAUCUUCAUGGACUAAUGGCUGGAGAAGACUUCAAGUUCUACCUCUGGGAACGUUGAAGAUUCAGCAUGUAAUUGGUGACCGUCGUAGAUUACUGCCAACCACAAUGGCACCCCUCUCUAAUUCACCAUCCCUCUAAUGAAACUGUCACUUAAGUAAUUUGUUCUUAUUAAGGGCAGCGUUUUAAAAAUAAAACAGUAACAGGGGU